GUGGAUUUCUGUUCAUCUGAGAACUGCUAUUAAACCUUCUCUUUCACCAUUACAAUAUAUUGCAUGAAACAGCUAAUUUUAGACACCUACUAAAACCCCAUUAUGUUGGGUGUUACAAUACAACAGUUUUCAAGACUCUAGUCAUCAUGUGCAAAAGUAAGGAAUUGUCCUAAAAAUAAAAUGCAUAUUGGUUCUUGCAAUGGCAAGGCGUUUGCAUUGCAGAAACAGUGUAUAUUUCAAUUUCUUUUGGUCCAACAGAACUACUCUCCUGUUGUUUGGUGUCUUCGACCAUUUGAAUGUUGUUGUAGUUAACAGGAAACUGUCCACUCCCACCUGAUACAACAGCAAACUCUCUGUCAACGUGCAUAUUGUCAGCAUCGUCCUCAACUCCUCCAUUCAUCAUUGGUAUUAAGCCAUCAAAGCUGUAAGCUUCCGUUCUAGCUUUCUUUACUCCAGCAGACUCCACAUCUUCAAAGGAUCUCUUUCGACUUGUC
Molecule: long non-coding RNA, 494 nt
Filed under: Gallus gallus (chicken)
Lineage: Eukaryota; Metazoa; Chordata; Aves; Galliformes; Phasianidae
Source: RNAcentral